Gasterosteus aculeatus aculeatus (three-spined stickleback) is the source of this 1233-nucleotide long non-coding RNA. NCBI's taxonomy places the organism in Eukaryota, Metazoa, Chordata, Actinopteri, Perciformes, Gasterosteidae. The record is from Ensembl.
AGCAAUGAGAGGGCGGUUUGGGUUUGAGUUCCUGCCAAACUUGAGCCUCCACACACAGCUCCCCAAGCAGCAGCUGCUCAAACUGAUUGCAGCACAAAACAGCUGACUUUGAACUUCCAGACCUUUUCGUCAACACUGGAACAGCUGCGGCUGAAAAGAAUGAAAGCGGCAGGAGCUGUGAUGGUUCGGACUGUCGCCUCGCAGCAAGGAGUUCCUUAACCACCCAGCGGCCUUUCUGUGUGGAGUCUGCAUGUUCUCCCCGUGUCGGCGUGGUUUCUCUGCGGGUACCCCGACUUCCUUCCACAGUCUAAAGACAUGCUGCGGGUGUCGUGUUAAUGAGCCGUAGGUGUUUGUCUGAGGAGGAGCCUGAACACACACCUUUACACCUCUGUGUGCGCAUCCACUUCUUUCAACUGCUAAUCUCUUCUACUGCUGUUGGGUUCAAGCCUCAGUCUGGACUAAAAAGUCUUUUUAGCACGGACACAGUUUCAGGUGUAUCAGGUGUUGUUAGGGCAGCUUGAGAGAGUAAGAGAUGGGAGGAAGAAAUAAGAGACGGAGAAAAAGAGGAAAAAUUGAUCAAGGAAAAGAAAAGGGAGGGAUGAGAGAGACCAAAGAGAGGGAGGUGAGAGAAGUGUAAAGAGAGUGCAGAUGAUGUGAGGGAUGGAAAAGGGGGCGAGCUAAAUGGAGACCGAGAAUGUAAUUUUGGAUCUAGGCAAAAGAAAGAGAUGAGAAGAGAAGAGUAGAAGCGGAGGAACGUAAAAUCAAAGAAGAGGGAGCGAUGAGACGGAAACACAACGAAGAAGAAAAGAGAGAGAAUGAGAAUAGAGGAGAAAGUCAUUGAUCUUGAAAAUAAAAUGAGGAACGGUGAGGAAAAGGAAAGUCGAUGGAGAGAUAACGGUUUAAUGGGUGAGAAAGAAAGGAGACAGAGUGAGAGAGAGAGAUGUUAUCGACCAUAUGAAAGUGCUGUAAUGUCGCCCCCCCCACACACACACACACACACACACAUUUUAUUUUCCCUCUAAUUUGAUUAAAACUCCUCCUCCCCGUCUGCAGGUUGUCAGCCGUGUCACUCAACAUACCGGCUCUGUUGCGUUACACGGCACAUCUGUUCAUACCAGGAUACAUUUUUCCAUUUGUGAAACUAAGUUCUGGCGAUAUUGGAUUUUCCCCUACUGAUGAUGUUUCUUUUGGAAAAACACUGAAGAAUAAAUAUAUAUAUAUAUAUAUAUAUAU